Molecule: long non-coding RNA, 319 nt
Organism: Prosopis cineraria
Lineage: Eukaryota; Viridiplantae; Streptophyta; Magnoliopsida; Fabales; Fabaceae
Exons: 3
Source: RefSeq, a predicted model, not a curated record
AUAAAAUUGAUGAAAAUUUUGGGAAAAAUUUUCCUAAGCCAGACAUUGUAAUUUCAGAUCCAAACCGUCCAGGCAUGCACAUGAAGUUGAUCAAAUUCUUGCUAAAACUUAAGGCACCACGCAUAGUUUAUGUGUCAUGCAAUCCUGCUACAUGUGCACGUGACCUUGAUUAUCUUUGUCAUGGUGUGACACAGCAGAAUAUAGAAGGAUGUUACAAACUAACAAGUCUACAGCCAGUAGAUAUGUUUCCACACACUCCUCAUAUUGAGUGUAUUUGUCUACUGGAGCUUUGUUGAUCUUUACUUCAGAAAACCGUCAA